This 353-nucleotide long non-coding RNA is filed under the name Glycine max (soybean). RNAcentral describes it as "long non-coding RNA (GMAX_LNC004304)". Lineage: Eukaryota; Viridiplantae; Streptophyta; Magnoliopsida; Fabales; Fabaceae. The record is from RNAcentral.
AGAGAACCAAAACAAAAGGAAGAAGCUAAAACUGGUAAGAAAGAUUUACUAUUAUCUCUUUUUUAUUUAUUUAUUGUAAGUAAGCAUGUGUGGCUGAAGUUAUCAGGUAGAUCCUAUGCUGUAUAUUCAUGCUGGUUGGUGACCCUUCCUCCUUCCAAGGAAUGUAAAGUUUACUCUCUAUGAAUUCAGUACAUGUUGAUCAAAUAAAAAGCAAUCUGAUUUCAUCCCAACAGAAAAAGAAAAGAAAAGAAAGCUCAGGAUUGAAGUACAGAAGCAAAAUUCUGCACUGAAAUAUCAGUGGUGUCUCCUUUAUUCCUUUUUAAUUUUCAGUUCUACUCAUAACACAGUUAUUG